RNAcentral lists this microRNA (21 nucleotides) under Zea mays. Its description in RNAcentral is "microRNA miR-3031". Lineage: Eukaryota; Viridiplantae; Streptophyta; Magnoliopsida; Poales; Poaceae. The record is from RNAcentral.
UUUUCUGGCGCAUCGAAUUUG